CUAAUUCAUGAAUUGAAUCAAAUGGGCCCUUUAACUAAGCGGUAGAGUCGCGCUCUUUAAACGCCCUAAGAAAUAGGCGUAAGUCGUCGGUUCAAAUCCGAUAAAAAAAGGGCUUUUCUAUUUUUUACGAAACUCCUGUCUUAGUCUUCAUUUUCUUUUUCAGCAGAGAAUAUAGAUAUGAAAAAAAGGUAACCGCCUGGUGAGUAGUUUUUUUUUAGUUUUUAAGUAGAAUGUUCAUUAUGAUGAUAAGUAGUCGAUUAGGAGAAUUGCUAUGUCACUUAUGGUCGUUGCCUCAUCCUCAUGUUUUUAUUAUUCAGAUUUGUUGUUUUGGGACAUAGAUAUUCUAGAUACCCAUUAUGGAAUCGAUAAAGUCUUCCUACUUCUCCAUUGUUCCAAUCAGAUUCGAAAAAUGAGAAAGAAAGAAAAAGUAAGUGGACCUAAAAAAAAUCAUAACUAUAUAAGCUAUUCUGAUAUUAAGAUUCGAUAUAGAUGAAAUCGUGGAAGUGGACCUUUGAUUUCCUUGGACCAC
Molecule: long non-coding RNA, 529 nt
Filed under: Gossypium raimondii (Peruvian cotton)
Lineage: Eukaryota; Viridiplantae; Streptophyta; Magnoliopsida; Malvales; Malvaceae
Description: long non-coding RNA (GRAI_LNC000392)
Source: RNAcentral